RNAcentral lists this ribosomal RNA (253 nucleotides) under uncultured bacterium. RNAcentral's name for it is "partial 16S ribosomal RNA". It matches the Rfam family "Bacterial small subunit ribosomal RNA", at positions 524 to 776 of the family's 1533-position model. The record is from RNAcentral.
UACGUAGGCAGCGAGCGUUGUUCGGAAUUACUGGGCGUAAAGAGUGUGUAGGCGGUGCUCUAAGUUCGGUGUGAAAUCUCCUGGCUCAACUGGGAGGGUGCGCCGGAAACUGGAGUGCUUGAGCGUGGGAGAGGAAAGCGGAAUUCCUGGUGUAGCGGUGAAAUGCGUAGAUAUCAGGAGGAACACCAAUUGCGAAGGCAGCUCGCUGGGACGUCACUGACGCUGAGACGCGAAAGCGUGGGGAGCAAACAGG